GAUGAACGCUGGCGGCGUGCCUAAUACAUGCAAGUCGAGCGAACAGACGAGGAGCUUGCUCCUCUGACUUUAGCGGCGGACGGGUGAGUAACACGUGGAUAACCUACCUAUAAGACUGGGAUAACUUCGGGAAACCGGAGCUAAUACCGGAUAAUAUAUUGAACCGCAUGGUUCAAUAGUGAAAGACGGUUUUGCUGUCACUUAUAGAUGGAUCCGCGCCGCAUUAGCUAGUUGGUAAGGUAACGGCUUACCAAGGCAACGAUGCGUAGCCGACCUGAGAGGGUGAUCGGCCACACUGGAACUGAGACACGGUCCAGACUCCUACGGGAGGCAGCAGUAGGGAAUCUUCCGCAAUGGGCGAAAGCUUGACGGAGCAACGCCGCGUGAGUGAUGAAGGUCUUCGGAUCGUAAAACUCUGUUAUUAGGGAAGAACAAAUGUGUAAGUAACUAUGCACGUCUUGACGGUACCUAAUCAGAAAGCCACGGCUAACUACGUG
Molecule: ribosomal RNA, 497 nt
Filed under: uncultured bacterium
Lineage: Bacteria
Description: partial 16S ribosomal RNA
Rfam family: Bacterial small subunit ribosomal RNA
Source: RNAcentral